GAAAAGGAGAGAGAAAGAGGGAGAGGACCUCUCCUUGAGCCGCCACCAAACUUCCACGACCGGCGCCAAAUCCGGCAAAACUUUUUACACCAAUCUCUUCCUCUCCUCAUGGGCUUUCUAUUGAUACUAGUUUCAUAAUUUAUUUUCACUUAUGUGCAAUGAAUCGAAGGAGAGAAGAUUUGACAAUUUUUCCAGCUAUUUUUCAAUUUCCGGCCAAACCAUCGAGAAUUUGGAGAAACCCCAAGGUAAUCCGGUUGAGCAAGCUUCUAAGGAUAUUCCCGAGAUGGGACUCACCUAGUCACCCUUUCAUUAGUAUUUAAUUAAGGAGGUAAAUAUGUCAGCGCAUACAUGCAUUACCUGGUCGGCAGUCCCAUCCAGGUAAUAGUCUGGUCGGUAGUACCCUCCAGAAUAUUCCGGUCGGCAGUACCCUCUGAUGCGUCAUCUGGUUGGCAGUACCCUCUAACUAUCUAUGCUUAGUCGGCAGUACCCUCUAACUAUCUAUGCUUAGUCGGCAGUACCCUCUAGCCAUCACCUCCUCGUCCGGUCGGCAGUCCCCUCCGAUGCGUCCUUGAUCAGCAGUCCCCUCCAGUUUGCAGGCUAGAUUAGUUGAGGUCAUGCGUACAUGGAGUUGAGGCAUAGCUGUCACAGCUUCCGCAUUGUAGAAUGUACGAUCCUUUACAUUUCUAUUCCAUCUUCUUGUAUACCUUGUGCAUUAGAUUGCUUUGAUAACCCGUGUGAUUAAUAUUCUUAAGUUGAGAAUUGUUUUGUGAAA
Long non-coding RNA from Rosa rugosa (rugosa rose), 772 nucleotides. RefSeq lists it as uncharacterized. The transcript has 4 exons. The record is from RefSeq and is a predicted model, not a curated record. NCBI's taxonomy places the organism in Eukaryota, Viridiplantae, Streptophyta, Magnoliopsida, Rosales, Rosaceae.